CAAGUUGCGCCCGAAGCCAUUAGGCCGAGGGCACGUCUGCCUGGGCGUC
Molecule: ribosomal RNA, 49 nt
Filed under: Sanguisorba officinalis var. longifolia
Lineage: Eukaryota; Viridiplantae; Streptophyta; Magnoliopsida; Rosales; Rosaceae
Description: partial 5.8S ribosomal RNA
Source: RNAcentral